This 620-nucleotide ribosomal RNA is filed under the name uncultured archaeon. Its description in RNAcentral is "bacterial SSU rRNA". It matches the Rfam family "Archaeal small subunit ribosomal RNA", at positions 147 to 774 of the family's 1478-position model. The record is from RNAcentral.
UAAUACUCCAUAGAUUAGAGACACUGGAAUGUUCUUUAGUCGAAAGUUCUGGCGCCUUAGGAUGGAUCUGCGGUCGAUUAGGUUGUUGUUGGGUAACAGUCCCAACAAGCCUGUAAUCGAUACGGGUUGUGGAGCCAAGAGCCCGGAGAUGGAAUCUGAGACACGAUUCCAGGCCCUACGGAGCGCAGCAGGCGCGAAAACUUUACAAUGCAGGAAACUGUGAUAAGGGAACUCCGAGUGCCCGUAUACGCGGGCUGUCCAGGUGUUUAAAAAUCAUCUGAAGAAAGGGCCGGGCAAGACCGGUGCCAGCCGCCGCGGUAAUACCGGCGGCUCGAGUGGUGGUCGAUUUUAUUGAGUCUAAAGCGUUCGUAGCCGUUUUGAUAAAUCCUUGGAUAAAUCGGGAAGCUUAACUUUCCAACUUCCGAGGAGACUGUCAAACUUGGACCCGGGAGAGGCUAGAGGUACUUCUGGGGUAGAGGUAAAAUCCUGUAAUCUUAGAAGGACCACCGGUGGCGAAGGCGUCUAGCUAGAACGGAUCCGACGGUGAGGGACGAAGCCCUGGGUCGCAAACGGGAUUAGAUACCCCGGUAGUCCAGGGUGUAACGCUGCCGACUUGGUGU